Molecule: unclassified non-coding RNA, 323 nt
Filed under: plant metagenome
Description: partial contains 5.8S ribosomal RNA, internal transcribed spacer 2, and large subunit ribosomal RNA
Rfam family: 5.8S ribosomal RNA (bases 1-105)
Source: RNAcentral
GAAAUGCGAUAAGUAAUGUGAAUUGCAGAAUUCCGUGAAUCAUCGAAUCUUUGAACGCACAUUGCGCCCUCUGGUAUUCCGGGGGGCAUGCCUGUCCGAGCGUCAUUGCACACCCUCAAGCGCGGCUUGUGUGUUGGGCCCCCGCGUCCUUGCCAUUUAAAGGACGGGCCCGAAAGGCAGUGGCGGCGUCGCGGUUAUCCGAUCAGCCAGAGCGUAUGGGGACUCUGUUCACACGUUCGGGGCGCGGACCACGCCAGUCCGGUUAACAAUCUUUCUUCCAAGGUUGACCUCGGAUCAGGUAGGGAUACCCGCUGAACUUAAGC